RNAcentral lists this ribosomal RNA (394 nucleotides) under uncultured bacterium. RNAcentral's name for it is "partial 16S ribosomal RNA". It matches the Rfam family "Bacterial small subunit ribosomal RNA", at positions 338 to 730 of the family's 1533-position model. The record is from RNAcentral.
CCUACGGGUGGCAGCAGUGAGGAAUAUUGGUCAAUGGGCGCGAGCCUGAACCAGCCAAGUCGCGUGAGGGAAGACGGUCCUAUGGAUUGUAAACCGCUUUUGUCCGGGAGCAAAAGACGCCACGCGUGUCGGUCCGAGAGUACCCGAAGAAAAAGCAUCGGCUAACUCCGUGCCAGCAGCCGCGGUAAUACGGAGGAUGCAAGCGUUAUCCGGAUUUAUUGGGUUUAAAGGGUGCGAAGGCGGCAGAUAAAGUUAGCGGUAAAAUUGCGGGGCUCAACCUUGAAGAGCCGUUGAUACUGGUUGUCUUGAGAGAAGGAGAAGUAUGCGGAAUGCGUGGUGUAGCGGUGAAAUGCAUAGAGAUCACGCAGAACACCGAUUGCGAAGGCAGCAUACC